GACGAACGCUGGCGGCGUGCUUAACACAUGCAAGUCGAACGGAAAGGCCCUGCUUUUGUGGGGUGCUCGAGUGGCGAACGGGUGAGUAACACGUGAGUAACCUGCCCUUGACUUUGGGAUAACUUCAGGAAACUGGGGCUAAUACCGGAUAGGAGCUCCUGCUGCAUGGUGGGGGUUGGAAAGUUUCGGCGGUUGGGGAUGGACUCGCGGCUUAUCAGCUUGUUGGUGGGGUAGUGGCUUACCAAGGCUUUGACGGGUAGCCGGCCUGAGAGGGUGACCGGCGAGGGGGGGAGGGGGAGAGCGGCAAGACAGGGGUGGGCGGCGGGGGGGGGGAAUACGGGACACGGGGCGGAGGGCGCAUGCGGCGAGGCCGCGGGGGGUGGGUCGGGUGUCGGGUUGGAACCCUCUUGCGCGUGGGAGGGAGGGUGGGAGACGGAGGUGGGGAAAGAAGCAGCGGCGAAAGACGGGCGAGCGGCCGGGGCAAUGAAGGGAGGGGCAGCCGGGUGACC
This 509-nucleotide ribosomal RNA is filed under the name uncultured bacterium. RNAcentral describes it as "partial 16S ribosomal RNA". The stretch from base 12 to 374 matches the Rfam family "Bacterial small subunit ribosomal RNA", at positions 39 to 400 of the family's 1533-position model. The record is from RNAcentral.